CAGUAGCCGCGGUAAUACGAAGGGUGCAAGCGUUACUCGGAAUUAUUGGGCGUAAAGGGUGCGUAGGCGGUUUGGCAAGUUUGGUGUGAAAUCUUCGGGCUCAACUCGAAGUCUGCAUCGAAAACUGCCGGGCUUGAGUAUGGGAGAGGUGAGUGGAAUUUCCGGUGUAGCGGUGAAAUGCGUAGAUAUCGGAAGGAACACCUGUGGCGAAAGCGGCUCACUGGACCAUAACUGACGCUGAUGCACGAAAGCUAGGGGAGCAAACAGGAUUAGAUACCCGUGUAGUCCCUGUCUCUUAUAU
This 301-nucleotide ribosomal RNA is filed under the name uncultured bacterium. RNAcentral's name for it is "partial 16S ribosomal RNA". It matches the Rfam family "Bacterial small subunit ribosomal RNA", at positions 509 to 809 of the family's 1533-position model. The record is from RNAcentral.